This is a long non-coding RNA of Sinocyclocheilus anshuiensis, 284 nucleotides long. RefSeq lists it as uncharacterized. The record is from RefSeq and is a predicted model, not a curated record. NCBI's taxonomy places the organism in Eukaryota, Metazoa, Chordata, Actinopteri, Cypriniformes, Cyprinidae. The transcript is spliced from 3 exons.
CUCAAGAGGAAUGACAUGCUUAGCUGUGAAAAGUCUCCUGUUCCAAAAAGAGUCGACAAAAACCGCAGAUGCUGAACUUCCAACCUGGUUUAAUGGAAACUACUUACUGUUUUCACAUUCACAUGCGAUUCUCCAGAACACCAAACACCCUUGCCAUUCCGACCUUUGCUGUUUGGGCAGCUCUUUGAACCCUGCAACCAGACAAGCAAAUAUUUCUGAAGGUACACUUGGUGCAGCUGUCCACAACCCAGUCCUCCUUAUCCUCAAAGAGACGGCCGUCUUGC